CCUACGGGAGGCAGCAGUGAGGAAUAUUGGUCAAUGGCCGUAAGGCUGAACCAGCCAAGUAGCGUGAGGGAAGACUGCCCUAUGGGUUGUAAACCUCUUUUAUGCGGGGAUAAAGGUGUCCACGUGUGGAUGUUUGCAGGUACCGCAUGAAUAAGGACCGGCUAAUUCCGUGCCAGCAGCCGCGGUAAUACGGAAGGUCCGGGCAUUAUCCGGAUUUAUUGGGUUUAAAGGGAGCGUAGGCCGGUCUUUAAGCGUGCCGGGAAAUUUUGUGGCUCAACCAUGAGAGUGCGGCGCGAACUGGAGACCUUGAGUGCGCGGAAGGCAGGCGGAAUUCGUGGUGUAGCGGUGAAAUGCUUAGAUAUCACGAAGAACCCCGAUUGCGAAGGCAGCCUGCCGCAGCGUUACUGACGCUGAAGCUCGAAAGCGCGGGUAUCGAACAGGAUUAGAUACCCCAGUAGUC
Molecule: ribosomal RNA, 460 nt
Filed under: uncultured bacterium
Lineage: Bacteria
Description: partial 16S ribosomal RNA
Rfam family: Bacterial small subunit ribosomal RNA
Source: RNAcentral